AGGAUUGAGUUUCAAAGCAGCUCUUCAAGUGGUGAAAGUUUAGUCAUAUCAUUUACUCCGCAAGAAAUCCACACAUGACAACCAUAUCCUAGUAACCCCAAAAUUUAGAAGGCUACAGAGGUGCAUUAUCAAAGUAGGAAGAGCAAAAUGAAGGAAGAAACAACAUGGAGGUUCUUAUGAUUUUAGCCGGGGAAAAAGGGGAACAUGGUUAGAAAAGUACCCGACUGAGCAGGGGCUUCAUUCGCUCCCUGUAGCCAUCAAGAACUCGCCCUCACAUACCACCUCACCUCCUACAUAUGCCUUCCCUUCCAUUUUUGCAAUUCCAAAACGUUUUUGAUGCUUAACCAGAGUCAUUCGCAUAACCAAAGUGUCUCCUGCAAUGACUGGUUUCCGGAACCUCACUUUGUCGAUUCCUGCAAAGAAGAAAUUCUCACGAGAGCCUCCAACUUCAGGUUGAAGCAUAACCAAGCCCCCAACCUGAGCCAUUGCCUGGACCCACCAACCACUUUCAUCAGCAAUUACUAGAGGCACAUGUAAUGUAUCCAAAUGCGAACUUGAUAGAAACAGGGUUGUAAAAAGAAUUUAACAAUAACAAUUUUAGCAAUGCUGCAAUGGGAAAAAAAAUUCAGAAAUAAAGGCACCCCUUUGAAGCUAGAAGUAUUUAUUGGGACACGAUGAAAGAAACUAGUCUAAAGAUGGUUUUUCCAUUUGGAAUGAGGACAAAUGACUGCACAUAUUGGCAGGAGAAUUUUAAUUCAAAUUGAAGACAUGUAGGAACAAUGUUACAUUAUAAAAACUGCCUCUAGAUUUCUAUUUGUGAAGUAGGCAGAUAUUAAACGGUGAUGUAUUUUGGAGAACAAACACUGCAAGGGGUAUAAAAAUCAGUGAUUUGGUUAUCCCUAGGGAGAUCUGAGGCAUUGUAUACCAACAAACAAAAUAAAAACAAAAAGGUCCCACAACCAAAUGGUUAUGAAAUAUAAGGGAGAAGUUGAGACCAAAGUUUGAUAGCUGGUUCUGCCCACUAAAAUGAAAAUCCUCAUUUUAUUAGGGAUUUUAUAAAAUUAGCACUUUGCUAUUGAUUACACUUUUCUUUCCCAUUAAUGUGUCCUCAGACUUCUGUGCAGGAGGUUGCAAUUCAGUCUCUUUACCAAAGUCUGACAGUCAACUCCUGUGCACAGAAGCCCAAACUAGUACAAUAAAGCAGUAAACUGUGGAGCCUCUGCAGGCCUUGAUUCACCUGGAUGAUGCACCCUUCAUCCCCAGGUCAGGUAAGGCCUGCGCAAGCUCCACAGUCAUAGAUCAUGGGUCUCUCCUCUAUUCCCUACUGAAAAUAGCAGCCCAAAGAGCUCUAUUCAUAGUCAUUUUUUUUAAUGAUUGAGGAACCUUCCAUGAUCAAGCCCUUAGGAUGAUCCAGGGAGACCCAAACCUAGGGUUGCAGAUCACGCCCACAACACCCAGCACUGGGUAAAUCAAGGUAUUUAACAGGCAGUAGGAUUCGAAACUAGGACCAUGCACCUCUCUACUACACAUCCAAGCAUUCAUAGUUGUAUUGUAUUGAACAAGCUAAAACUAUUGUUCAUUCUCAUCUAUUGAACUAGUCAAAGCUAAAAGAGGAGCAUAUCUUAGAUGUGUUGAUUAUUUUAUGGUGAGAAUCAUACUUAUAGCAACUUGGCCGAAUUGGGAGAAUCUAUAGGUAUUAUUCUUGGUCAAUCUACUAGAGAAUCAAAUAGUCAACUAACAUUAAGAACUUUUCAUACGGAUAGAAUAUCCAUGUGAUAUCCCACAUGGAUAGAGGAAGCAAUUCUUAGCAUCACAUAUGUAUGAAUUUUUCUUAAUCAUAUAAAUAUGUUUUAAAGCCGUGAGAUCCCAUUGGGCCUAAAGCGGAUAAUAUCUACAUAAGAAAGAACAAGUUGUUACAAAUGGUAUUAAAGUCAAUUUACAACCCCGAUGUAGGCCUUUGUUCGUUUGGUCUUUAAAGGGAUGUCUAUCAAUUUGGCCCACAAUCCUGUGGGACAUGAUAAGGAUGAUGUGUGACAAUUCUACCAAAACAUUAACUUCUAUUACAGAUGAUCAAUAAGUAGAAUCAGAAUAAGUGAUUGCUGGGAUUGAAUGUACACUUUUCACUUUGAAGAGAGUGCCCAAAAACAUAUUUAUUCCAAUGCAAAGGGGAAGAGCAACAACUAUAGGUCAACAAAAAGAAGAGGCAGGUUAUCUUCAUCAACUCACAGAAAUUUGUGGUAAAACCAAUUGUGAGAUAAUGAUAUGGAUGUCCCAAAAUAAAGGAGUUGCAAAGCAAUAUAUUGGAGUGAUUAUGAACUUGGGGGAAUAAAUUAUCUUGUUGCACUGAUUAUGAACGAAAUAUGUGGCUAUAUAUAUUAUGAAGUAUGCUAUGCUAUUGAGUGUUGGUUGCAAAUAACCCUUUAAUGGCAAAAUUAGCAAUGGAUACCAAAUUGGAAUCACUUGCAGUUGCUUUGGAACACCCAGCUUCAAAGUAAUUUGGAGAAUUAUAUUGUAUGAAGCAGAAUGUUGAGAACAGGGAAAAAAAUUGCAAAUUGAAAUGGCUAUAUCAAAAAGUUGAGUGACAAAAUAAGUGACCACAACAUUAUAACUAGGUGAAUAUGGCAAAAAAAAAAGUGAUCUGAUAGGGAAUAACAUAUAGAGUGCUGGACUCUAAUAAUCUGGUACAGAGCACUGAAAACCUAUGAUAAUCUGAGUGUAAGAGGACAAGGAUGAAAGAAGUAUGGAGAUUUGAAGUCAGCAAUAAAAAAGCCUGAAGCUCCUGAUGAGAUGCAAGUCAUAUGGCAAUAACAUGAAAAUAAAAUCCCUAAAACAAAAUAAGGAAAUCAUCACUAAGUCCCAUGUAUUAAAAGCUGAAUAAGUAGUGCCACAAAAGGGUACCAGGAAUUAUGAUAUGCCAAUCAGAGUAUAAGUGUGAUGUCAACCAUGCAUUGGACAUAAAUGAACUGUUAUAUUUGGCAUGGAGUCAUAGACAAGGAAGUAAGACAUUUCAUUUAGCACCACAUGUAGAAUGCUAUUGUUAGUUGCGCUUCAUUCCCGUUGCCUAACAAAAAGUAAUAAGAAGCAAAAGAAAAGAAGUGCAAUGUUUAAUAGCAUUGUAUAACUAAUGCUAAAUCAAAUGUCUUACUUCCUUAUUCAUAACAAAUAAAAAAGUUCGUUUAUAUCUAAUGUAUGGUUGAUGUGCCAAGAAUCAAGUAAAAGCUUAAAAAUACCACCUCUGAUGUCCUCCCUCCCACCACUCCUCCCCCAAUUAAGUAUUAAUUAACAACCAAUGAACUUCAAUGCCAAAAUUGUACAAGUCAAUGAAGGAGAAGAUAAAUUCUUUGAGCCUUCCUUUGCACCCAUUAGUUUAUCUUAACAUUUUAAGAACAGAAAAGCUUUGAAUCCCAGCUAUUAGGCUAUGUCCAUCUUUGUCAACCUUUUAGCUCUAUCUAGAUCAAUGUCUUGCCUUAACAAGUUAAGCAAAUGAAAAAGAUUAUAGUGAAUGUACAAAUAUUUCUUGUAUCUUUUUGUCCUUGAAGAAAGGGGAAAAGGACAAGCUUGAUUAGGAUUCAGGUGUGCAACAUGCUGAGAAUCUGCAGCCAAAUGGGAUCAAUUCAUUUGGGACUCAGUUAAAGAUCAUAAGAUCAUCAUCCACAUUCAAAAGGAAGAGAUAAAUUCUUUGCCAAUUUCUUUGCAACUGUUAUAAAAAAGCCCACCUAGUGUAUCUAAAAUCAACAAUAUAACCUUAAAUUCCAAUUAUUUGGGCUCAGUUACUUUGGAACAACAGGAUUUGUUUUUUCCAAGAUAUGGGAAAAGGGUUCAGCUUGAUUAUGAAGAGGGAAUGAAACUUCCAGAGCAUCUGUAGCCAAAAAGUGCUUGAUUCAUUUGUAGGCUCAAUUAAGAUAAUGGACUAGUAGUCUGCUCAGUUCAAGAUUAGCUGGAUAAUCUGCACAUUCUUUUCGUUCUCCGAGGAUGAGUAAUGCUAUUUUGGGUAAUUGUGCUUGUAAUCAGCCAUGGGAGCUCAAAGCUCCAAGUGGGAGGACAGUGGAUGGAGAUAGCCCCCUCUGAGUCAGACUCAACACUUCUACGGGAGAUGUUAAGAUCUCAACAAAUUUGAAGACUACUCCUCAUGGCCCACAGUUAGCACACACAAUAAUAAAACUGCAUACAAACCGUGCAUGACCUCUUAUUCAUGUCAAUCUAAUGGUCAGAUAACUCCCAAGGAUCUCAGCUGAUGAAGGAAAGACUUCGAUUUUCCAGAAGGAAGCAAAGAACAAUGUAUACCUAAUUCCUAGUUUCAUCUGGAUUGUCCAACAAGGAGCCCGUCCUAAUAGAGAAUAGUAACUCAGUUAAUGGGUUGAUUCCUGACUGUCUGGGUUUCUUGUCAAUUCAAGAAUGCUAAAUACUAUUCAUGUUCUCUGGUAUAAGAAAUUCUACAUUAAAGCUCCAUCAUGAAUCAUAAACCAAUAACCAUAACACUAGUUUGAGAUAAGUUGGUAAGUGACUGCAUCAUAUGUUUUCCAAAAACUGUGUACCCCACUUUUAGUGCUGAAGCCAAUCCCUCCAAAGAUCUUCAUAACACUUAGAACAUGUCAUACAAAUAUAACUCAUGCAGCUAUUGUUAAUCAUCAUUCUGAUGUUCCCAUAAAAUAUACCCAAUUAUAAAAUAAAAAGAACAGACAAUGAGCUAAUUGACUGAUUGUAAAAUUCACCCAACAAAAGGCUAUGUCUGCUUAAUGACAGUCAACAAACUUCACUAAUAAUGAAAAUUUACAAAAAUAUGAAAUUCUCCUAAACCUGCAAAAUGAAACUUAUAGUCAAAACACCAACCAGUUACUCCAAAGUGGCCAGGAGUCCAAAAACAAGGAAAUUAUUAAAAGACCUUGGGAUAUAAUGAAUUCAAAGCCAAAGUUGAACAGGACAAGAAUAAUGAUUUCUAUUCUCAUGUGGCAACCUAAGAAGAAGCUUUCACGUAAAAGCUUCAACAAUUGGGAACAUUAGACUUAAAAGGGAAAAAAAAGAAGAGAAAAGAAAGAUUGAGACAAAUCCCAAUGGGAAGAAUCCUGUGACUAACAUAUAUAAUUAAGGGGACCCAAGUCCUUAGAGCCCAAUCAUUGCUUAUUCAAUGUGCACAAAUAUGUUGAGUUCUUUAUUUUUCAAACAUUUUCUGUUAUUUUCUAGUAAAUUGAAUUCAAAUGAAGAACAUGAAGUUUGGCAAUAAGCAAAUUACCUCAACCAUGAGCACACCAGGCAUAAUUGGCCUCUCAGGGAAGUGCCCAGGAAAGAAGUUAUCGUUUAUAGUCACAUUCUUAAUUGCUACUGCUGAGAUCCCUGGGUUGUAUUCAAUCACUCUAUCCACUAAAAGAAACGGAAACCUGAGAUACAACCAAAAACAAAAUUGCCAAUUCGACUGCAAAGUAAUGAGAGAAAAAGAAAAGAAAAGAAAAGAAAAAAGGAAGACUGCAACUUCAAGCUGAGUUUGAUUGUCGUGAAAAUGUAAGGUUUAAGCUGAAUUUGAUUGUCGAGAAAAUGUAAGAAAAAAUAAAAUAGGACAUUAGACUGAAAAUUUCCAUCUUAGCCUAGAAUCAACUAUUCGGCUUAGUUAAGCUGGGUUUAGCAUUUUCAUAAACCAAUAUAAAACACAAAAAUUCAAGAUUUUAUUUUUCUUUCCUUCUGCUUUCCUCCCUUUUCACGUCAACCAAACAGAGAACAGCAAAAAAUAACCAAAGGGAAACUCAAAUGCAUGAAACCACGAAUACAGAAACUCACCUGUGCGGUAAAAUUUCCCGUAUUUGAUUAAUAUCCAUCACCGUAGGGAAUGCUGAAUAUGCUACAGAACAAACAUAACAAAAAACAGAAAAAAUUUGAACACAAAACCUAACAGAAUAGAAAAACAAAAGAAUCAAUGCAGAAAUGCCGGAAGAAGAGCAUACUCUUUUCGACGGGAACGUCUCCUUUACCAGCGUCGAGAGAAGCGCAAGCGAUGAAGGUGGAUCGAGGAUUGGAUUGAAGAGAAAGAAAGCGAGGGGCAGAGAGAGAAACGGUGAAUGUAGAGGGUCGACGAGGAGAUAGAGGGGAAGGAGAAGUGAGAGGAGAGAAGAGAGUGUUGGAGAUGGUAGCCAUUUUCCGAGAGGGAAAGAGGGAGAGAGUAGAGAGGACGGUCGGAGUGAACGACGCGAAAGGGAUAGUUUGUGUGUUGAACACAGCGGAGAUUUCAAAGACUGCCCAUUUUUCAUUUCAUCCUUUCCAGUUUCCACUACAUUCCCCAAACAAGAUCUACAGCUACCAGCCCUUCUGAAAUUUGAAAAGGGAAAAUUGUGUUUUUAACCCGGCCCUCCUAUUCCUCUUAAUUAAACUCAAAAGCCAAUCUAAAAGGAAGGAUAUUAUCUUAAGAAAAUUCGUAAAAUACCCUUAGAUAUUAAAUGAAAAAGGUUAAUCGGUCAACCCACCUUUCUCAUUCUCCUUUUUGCUCUUUCACCCUUUUCUUGCCCCUGUUUAUUAGUGGACCAUGUUGAAUAAUUUCCUAAUGAUUUUUCUCCAUCAAAUUGAAUAUAAAAAAUAAAUAAUUAAAAAUUAUAAUUACUAAAUAUAUUUUUUAAGUAAAUAACUUUUAAAUGCCUAAUCAAAUAUUACUAUUUUUUUCAAACUUACAUAAUAUAUAAUAAAUAUUUUUUAAAUACCUUUGAAACUUAUAUAAUAUAUAAUAAAUAUUAUUUUUUAUUUCAAAUUUAAAUUAUUUUUCGUACAUAUUAAACAAUUUUUAAACAUCUCAUAAAAUAUUAGGGCCUGUUUGUUUAGUGUUUUCAAGAACUGUUUUCUGUUCUUGAAAACAAAAAACACCAAAAACUCGUUUGGUUGAGAGGGUUGUUUUUGUUUUUGUUGUUUUCCGUGUUCUCAAAAUGACACUAUUUAGAGAACAACAAAAUGUUGUUUUCCCCGUUUUUUUACUGUUUACAGAACAAAAUUAAACAAAAAAAAACCAUCUGUUCUCCGUGUUUUUUUUUUCUUCCCGUUCUCAUCUCUUCUCCAGCACAGUCUCAGUCUUGAUUCAAGGUUCGUGAAAUUUAAAUCCAAUGGCACAAUAGCAAAGAGACCCCUAAAACGGAUCCAGAAAACACAGGGAGCAAAAGAAAAUCCAUUUUUUUGGUUUUCCUUGGGGUUUUUGCUUAGAUUUUCUCGGAAAUCAAACGAGGAUGAAUUUUCCCGGAAAUCGAAUGGGGGAUGGAUUUUCUUGGGAAUCAAACGGGGGUUGCAAAAAUAAUAAUAAUAAUAAUAACAUGAUUAGAUUAGUACCUGCAAGGAUUGAGAGUGGCAGAGGAAAAUAGGGCCUUUUAGGGAUUCUCUCGGCUGGAGGGCAACUUCAUAAAAGGGCUUCUUGAUGCCCGAGAGAGAGAGAGAAGUGGGUGGCAUUUUUAAUUUUUGGUUUUAGUAGAGAUAAAAAAAAAUUUUAAUUGUUCUCAAUUUAAUAGAAUAUGUUAUAAUUUUUAAUACAGUUAAAGAUUAAAUAAAAAAAUAUUAAUAAAAAUAAUUUUAUUAUGUUUGAUUUAUUUUAAAAAAAUAUAAAAAAUAUUUUUAUUUUUAAAUUAAUAAAAUAAAUAAUUUUUUUAAUUUAAAUGAACUAUAUAUCUAAAAAUUAUUUAUAAAUUUAUAAUAUAAAAUUACUUGAAGAAAAUAUUUUAUUAAUUAGAAAAGAAAAAAAAACAUCUUUCAAACGUGUUUUUUGUUUUAUUUGUUCUAAAAAUUUUUUUUUAUUAACUCAACCAAACAUGUUUUUUUGUUUUUGAGAACAAAAACUGUUUUUUAAAAUUCAGUUCCCAAACAUAAUUUUUUUUUAAAAAACACCAAAAACUGUUCUUAAAAACUGUUCUCAAAAAUUGUUUUUUAGAACAGUUUUCAAAAACAGCAACCAAACAGGCCCUUAGUUUUUUUUUGUUUGUUCUAACUUACAAAUUAGACAUCCUGAAAUAUAUUUUUUUCAAAUUUAUAGAAUAUAUAAUAAAUACUUUUUAAAUACCUCAACAAAUAUUUUUUUUGUUUCUUACUUACAAAAUAAUAAAUAUGUUUUACAUUAUUUCUUAUAUAUAUAUUAAAUAAUUUUUAAAUACCUUAUAAAAUAUUAUUAUUAUUAUUUUUCUAACUUGCAAAUUAAACAUAGGGUUUAUUAUUUCUCAUAUUAUUUCAAAAAUAAUGUAAACACUCACAUGCUAUAUAUAUAAUAUUAAUAAAGAAAACACUAUUUCUAAGACUAAAUUACCAAGCUUCCAAUAAUUUUGAAAGUGUAAAUAGAGUAAUUGAAAAAAUUAAAGUAUUCAAUAUAUUCAAAAUUUCUCCUAUCCAAAAUUACUUAAUUGCUCCCCACACUAAUCCUAAAUAUUUUUAAAUAAAGAUUUAAAUAUUUAAAACUAUUAAAAUAAAUAUUUUCUUAUCAAAGCAAUUUUUUAAAAGUAAUAAGAUAAAAAUCACAAAAUCUUCAAAACUAUAAUUAUAACAAAUAUUUUUAAUUUUAAAACUAAUUUCAUAAUUUAAAUUAAUGAUUUAGGCAUGAGUCAUUUUUUCUCUAUUUGUUUUUGCAGAUCACAUUUUUAGCCAGGUGUCACUAUCCCAGCGGGCCACGUGUCACAUCCUUAGUGGCCAUAAAGAAUCAACCUCGCUUUUUGAAGCUAUAGUAGGACUUUGACACGUGGAGGAACUUCCUGGAAGGGGGUCCCGCAGGCUGUCAGGGGGCGCGGAUGAGAGCGCAGAAAAGGUGGCUGUUGCAGAGAUCGUUGAAGGGGACAACAUUGCAGAGGGAGUGGUUGGACAAGCCAUGCUGGCUGACCAGUGAACAUGGGAGUUUUUCUAGGAGUUUUGAGAGAAAGAUUGGGGGGCGAACUGGAGGGAGGAAGCUAAGAACGGAGGAGCGUGGAGUUGCUGGGGAGUCUAGGACACAGAGCUGAAAAGAGAGAUUUCCAGGUAUGACCAUUUGUUUUUUUAGAUAUUUUCCGUUUUUUCCAGACUGUCCAGGUCUGAUUCUCAGUGAUUUUUCAUUUCCGCUUGUUGGGUUGUUUUGUUUUGGUGGUUACUGAUUAAAUAUUGGAAGAGUUUGCUGUAUUUUAUGCCCUAUUCUGACAAGUAUUUUUCCAUCUUAACUCACUGGAUGUUGGACCUAUGGAUGAAAUGAUGAAAUGGAUCCGAUAUACUGGUUAAAGUCUUCAUGUUCUUCUUGUUGUUGCUAUCUUGUUAUCUCUUUGUUUUCUUUUCCUCCCUGAGUGCAUGCUCAAGGCUCCAAAGUCUCAGUUGCUUUCCGUGAAGCUUCAAGCCAUGGCCUCCUUGUGGCUAGAAUCUGGGCUUUCAGUGACGAUGAGAACAGACCUUUUCAGUUUUCUCCAAGCUUUCACAGUCAGCAAGUACCCAAGGUUGCAUACUACCAGGCAUAUUCGUCGGCUAGACGUAGAGGCACCUCUGCUAGUGGCCAGCCCAUUGUGUUUAUGUUCGUGCACAUGUCUUCACUCUACAUGACCCCUAUCUCUAUUCUCAUGCAAGCGUGUCGUCAUCUCAUCCCCAUGUUUUCAUUCCCUUAUCCACCAUACCCAUCGUCCAUCUAUCCAUCCCUCUCUCUAGGUCGUCAUACCUAUUUCCUCACUCAAGCUUGUAGGAAUCAAGCAUCCUCCACCACACCCAUUUUCCUCUCAUUCAUUCUCCGGAUGUAUCACAUCCGAAAUUCUAUCCAACCAAUGUCCCACCUUCUUCGGAUGUCUCAUAUCCGGAAUCCUGUCCGGCCGACAUUCCACCUUCUCCGGAUGUCUCACAUCCGGAAUCCUGUCUGGCCGACACCACCUCCUCCGGAUGUCUCACAUCCAGAAUCCUGUCCGGCCGACAUUCCACCUCCUCCAGAUGUCUCACAUCCGAAAUCCUAUCUGGCCAACGUCCCAUCUUCUCCGGAUGUCUCACAUCCGGAAUCCUGUCCGGCCGACAUUCCACCUCCUCCGGAUGCCUCACAUCCGGAAUCUUGUCCGGCCGACAUUCCACCUCAUCCGGAUGUCUCACAUCCGAAAUCCUGUCCGCCGGCAUUCCACCUCCUCCGGAUGCCUCAUAUUCGGAAUUCUAUCUGCCGACGUUUCGCCUUCUCCGGAUAUCUCACAUCCGACGCCUGACGCCGAAUGAGAGAAGAAGGCAAUUCAACUUCCCCCGCCAGACAUGUCCGGAUCCUCGUUUUAUAACUUCUUUUUUUGUAAUCAUUUCAAAGCAUCCUAUCUUUCAUCCUUAGAAAUUUUAAGAUCACCCAGGGGUCCCAUUUCCAAUAAAAUUUUGUUGUCAUCUUUCUUUCUGGCAAGCAAUUUUCACACCUCCCCUGUUUUAAAAAUGUUUUGAAAUAAGCAUAGAUUCAAUCCCGUAAUUCCGAAUAAUGGAGUUUAUGGAAUUAAUUCAUGCAAAAAUAAACAGGCUAUGGUGAGGGCCCGACAUCAAAUAAAUUUCCUUUAAAAUAAAAAUGGAAUUGAAAUAAUAUCAUUGCAUGAUAUUGGUGUUUUUUUUUUCUCUUUAUCUGGUUGGGUGAUAUGAGUGAUACACUUUAUGUUCAUUACUAUGCACUAACCCCAUUUUGUGAUAGUGCGUUGCUGUUUGCUGAUCAGGUGCGCAUCUGCUUCCACUUUGGUUAUUCUCUAUGCAUAUUUUGAUACUCAUAUGUGCAUGAUUGAUUCGAGUAUUCAUUGUUUUCCUCAUCAUUGCCAUAAUUGCUUCACUUUAUUAGUAGAGACCCGACUUUAGGGGCUUAGAGGGGUGCUACGGUUUUUACCGUACCUUCCCGAUAAGUAACCUGACCCCCGAACCCGAUCCGGUUUUUCAUAGACCACCUUUUCCAAAAUAAGGAGUCACACUUAGGGUUUUCUUUCUUAUUUUGUUUGCCCUUUAAAAAUAAAACAAAAAUAAGUGGCGACUCCUAGUCAUUUUUCCUAAUCAAUAAAAUCAUUUUUUUCAAAUAAAAAGCGAGUUUCGCCAUCGAGUGGGAAACGCAUUGAGCCGAAAUGCAGGGUCCACAGUUGGGCUCCCACCAAAACCCGUUUUAUUUUUGUAUGAAUUAAUCCCAUGAAUUUCCAUUAUUCGAAAUUACGGGAAUAAAUUCAUACUUAUUUUAAAACAUUUACUAUGAGAUAACCAGUCAAGGAUCUGUGCUCACAGAACAAGAGGAAAACCAUUUGGUUUUUUCCCAAAUAGUUUGAAAACAAUCCGAUCGGUGCAGCUUUGAGCCUCUCCAUUGGAACUAGAAGGUGACUAGGCAGAUGCUGAAUAAGAAUUACCACUUGUCUGAGGUGGACUUGAUUGAUGAGAGUCUUGUUGUACCCAUGAGGGACAUUCAAGAGAACCAGUCCCCAGAUUCUCAGGGACAAGUGAUCUCUCCGGAUCUUCCAUGCCAUCAUCUGAAUCAAUAUAUAUGUCAUUCAAAAGGCAAAAUAGUAAAUAUAUAUAUAUAUAUAUAUAUUUCAUUUAGUUCACUUAUAAUGAACAAUUCAAAUAUAAUUGAUUUUAAUUUUAUUUCUUACAUGUUAAUUUUUGUAGGAAAAAUAUUAAUGACAUAGUUUGGUAAAAAAAAAUAUAUAUAUCAAUAAUCAUCUUAAUGUCAAGUUCAAGUUGUUUAAAAAUUGUACAAAAACUAUUAGGAGCUUUGUACACCUUUAUACACUUGACACAUUUUUCUUGUACAAUUAGUGUAAUACCCUUGUAUAAUAGCACAAAUUUCAUAUCCCUCUCAAGUUUUGUGUUCAUGUAAGUGUAUUAACCAUGUUUUUAAUAAUUUUGUUGAUAAAAUGGUGGAUGAUUUAGAGUCAAUUUUUUUUCCUCAAAUAUCAUUAUUAAGGAAAGUAUUAGAAUUUUUAUGUGAAAAUUAAAUAAAAUGCAUGACAUAGGUGUACAAUUCAUGGGUGAUAAGAAAAAUAAAUGAAUGAUUCAUAAUAAAUUGAAAUCUUUCACAAAAUGUAGUUUUGUACACCCUUGUACAUUUAAUACAUUUCAUUUGUACACUUAAUGUAAUACCCUUGUACAGUGGCACAAAUUUCAUAUCCCUCAUAAGUUAUGUAUCUACAUAGGUGUAUUUAACUAUAUUUACAAUGGUUUAGUUGAGAAAAUAGUGGAUGAUAUAUGGUCAAAUUAUUUUCCUCAAAUAUUAUUAUGGGGAAAAUAUUUGAAUUUUCAUGUGAAAAUUAAAUAAAAUGCAUGACAUAGGUGUACAAUUCGUGGGUGAUAAGAAAAAUAAAGGAAUGGUUCAGAACAAAUCGAAAUCUUUCACAAAAUGUAAUUUUGUACACUCUUAUACACUUAGUGCAUUUCCCUUCUACAAUCAGUGUAAUACCAUUGUACAGUGACAUAAUAAAUGAAUAAAUGAAAUUUAAUUCUUUUUAUUAUUUUCAUAUAAAAAAAUUGUAUUAUACAAGGUUUUCAAUUUUCAUUUUUAAAAAUAUUUUUCAUUUUUUAAUUAAACAUACUUUAAAAAAAAGACAAUAUAGAAAAUAAAAAUUAUUUUUAAAAAUAAAAAUAAAAAGUAAAAAAGUAAAAAUAGAAAAAUAUUUUCAAACCAAACUCAAACAUAAUCAAUAUAAUUUUUAACUACUUAUUUUCAUCUAAAAUAGGUAAAUAUACUUUUCAACUAUUUUAUAUAAGAAAAAUUCAAUCUCUAUCAUGUAUUGAUGUAAUCUACUUUUAAAAUUACGUCAUACAAAUACAUUUUUAUUGGGUAUUUAAAAUAAAAACUCUCAAUCCAUCCUUUUUUUUUCCUUAUUUUAAUAAAUUUUCAAUCAAUUCAAAUCAUUAAAAAAAAAUUCUUAGUAAACAAAUUUGCAAUAUUUUAUAUAAUUUAUUACUAAAAGUCAUGUUCAAAAAAUUAUUAAAAUAAGGAAGUAAGAAAAUUAAAAGAAAAAAUUAAAAAUUUUAUUUUAUAAUAAUAAUAAAAAAACUUUAAAAUACUUUUUAGUAUAAAAGAAAAGAAAAUAGUGAAUAUAUUUAUUUUAAAUAGUAUUUUAAUCAUUAAAUUAUUUACUUAUAAAAUGUAAAAGAUAAUCUUUAUUUAUUUAAAUUAACAUUUUUAGAGAAGGUAUUUUCCAAAAUAGUCAUUAAAUCAUUAAUAUAAUUUUUUUGCUUAUUUAUAAUUUAAAAAUAGAAAAUAAUGUUGAUUUUUCAAUUAUUUAUAAAAGAGUUUAAAAAAAUAAAAUAAAAUAAAUCCAAAAAUGGUUAAAUAAGAGAGAAUUUGAUGGUAAUGGCAUGUGAAGAAUGGUAAAAUAAAGACAAAGUGAGUCAAAAGGGUAUUUUUGUCUAUUACUAUCUCAUAUCCUCAUAAUCAAUUAUGGGUGAUUGAAUGAUUUUAUCUUAAUUAUCAAACCCAAUUGGGUUGAAAACACAAUUCUCCUAAUUCGAAAGCUUAUCAAUAUUAUAAAUCCUAGUUAUAUUGCAAAUCUUUUAGAUAAACCUCUUAAAGAAUUAGAAGGCCUAGUAUAUUGUGAUGUGUGAUUUGAUCAAAUCAAUAUUAUAAAUCCUAGUUAUAUCGCAAAUGUGUGAUUUGAUCGAAAUUCUGAUUUUACAGAUUCAGAAUGAGAAACUGUCAUCCUAUUCAAUCCAAUUGGGAUACCUUGACUCUGACAUGUCUCUUAAGAGGAGUAACAUGAAGCUCAUAAUUAUGGGUGUAUUCUAUACUACCAAAUAAAAGGGUAAUUGAUCUAUGGUCGAUUCCGUAACCAAUAAAUAGGAAUGUUUAGUUGGUGAGUCAUUCCCUCCCUUGUGUAACAUGUAGCCUGUGGUUCAAGUCACUUAGGUGUAAGCCUUUAUAGGUUUUUUAGGAAUCAGAUGGUUCAUCCGGCUUGGCGGUUCAACCGCCAAUUUAAAGGGUUGAGCAUGUUUGGCGGUCAAACCAUUACAAGCUUCAACAUAGUCUACCCCUGUAAGAAAACAGAGUAGAACAGAGUGUUUUGGAAAUCUGGAAAUCUGGUGUAUAUUCCGUGUAUGAACUUACAGGGAAGAAGAUGCAUAUAUACAAAGUAUUGGUUAGCCUAUUCUAGGAAUCUAAGAGCAAACAUAUCAGUUACAAUCAAUCAAAAUAAUCUUCUAUAUACAAUCAAAUAUCAUCCUCAAAUUACGAGAUCCUUGAUUCCUUUCCCAUAAUACUCCCCCUCAAGUUGGAGCGUGUAUGUCAAGAAUGCCAAACUUGUUGAGAAGGGAAUGAAAAAUUGAUGAAUUGAGUGGCUUAGUGAACAAAUCAGCAAGCUGGCAAGACGAUGGAAGAUGAGCAGUUACUAUGACACCUGAUUGAAUUCGUUCUCGAACAACAUGACAAUCGAUUUCUAUAUGCUUGGUACGUUCAUGGUAAACUGGAUUAGCAGCAAUAUGGAGUGCUGCUUUACUAUCACAGAAUAGUUUGGCAGGUUGCGAGUGUUCUACCUUCAAGUCAUCCAACAAAUACUUGAGCCAUGUAAGUUCACAUGUAAUGGAAGCCAUUGCUUGAUAUUCUGAUUCAGCUGAUGACCUUGACACUGUUGUCUGUUUCUUGGUUUUCCAUGAAAUGAGAGCUUCUCCAAGAAAAAUGCAAUAUCCAGUCACAGAUCGUCUUGUGAUCGAACAUCGAGCCCAAUCUGCAUCACAAAAUCCUCUUAGUAGCAAAUUUCCUUUUGCAGGAAAAUAUAAUCCUUGUCCAAGUGCACCUUUAAGAUAUCGUAGAAGAUGAUGAACAGCAUGCAAAUGAGGCUUUCUUGGUUCUUGCAUAAACUGGCUUAAAAUGUGAAUUGAAUAACUUAUCUCUGGCCUUGUAAUGGUAAGAUAAAUGAGUUGUCCGACCAAUCUUCUGUAGAUGGAUGGAUUCUUCAAUAAAUCUCCUACUGUGGGCAGGAGUUUAUUAUUUUCUUCCAUAGGUGUCAACAAUGGUUUGGCCCCAAGCAAGCCUGCUUCAUCUAAAAUAUCAAGAGUGUAUUUUCGUUGGGAUAUUGAAAUACCAUCAGUAGAACGAGCAACUUCAAUACCAAGGAAAUAUCGUAAUUGACCGAGGUCCUUGAUGCGAAAUUUGGUGUGGAGAGACUCCUUAAGAGUUGCAAUUACAUUCUCAUCAUUGCCGGCGAUGAUCAUGUCAUCUACAUAGAUGAGCACAACUGUGAAAGAAUUACCAGAGAUCUUUGUGAAAAGUGAAUAAUCAGCCCUUGAUUGAUAGAAACCAUCUUGUUGAAUGGUGGCAGAAAAUUUCUGAAACCAGCUACGGGAGGCUUGUUUAAGUCCAUAUAAUGACUUGUUGAAUCGACAUACCAUAGGUGUCUCCCCCUGUCGACAAAAACCGGGCGGCAAUUGCAUAUAGACUUCUUCAAGCAAAUCACCAUGGAGAAAGGCAUGAACAUCCAUUUGGUGAAGUGACCAAUGUCGGACAGCAGCUAUAGCAAGUAAACAUCGAACUGUAGUUAACUUAGCCACAGGAGAAAAGGUCUCCUUAUAGUCAAUCCCUUCGCGUUGAGUGAAGCCUUUCGCCACCAACCGAGCUUUGUAUCGCUCAACUGUGCCAUCAGAGUUAUAUUUGAUCUUAUACACCCAUUUGCACCCAAUUGGACGAUGACCAGAAGGGAGAGGCGUGAGUGUCCAAGUGUGAUUUUGUUCAAGAGCAUGGAGUUCUGCAGCCAUAGCUUCCCGCCAUUUUGGAUCCAAUACUGCCUGUUCAUAAGUUAUAGGUUCCACAAGAGUGGUGAUGGCACAAACAAAAUUCCGAUAUUUUUGUGAGAGUUGUGCAUAGGAAAUAUACCGAGUCAAAGGGUGACGCGUACCUGACAAGGAAGAAGAUUGGCUGGAAGUAACCUUGGUGGUAUGGUAGAGAUGAAAAUUCCGAAGUUGGACAUUUGGUUGCUUGAUGCGGUCAGAACGACGAGUAGCAGGAGGUGGAGGUGACACAAUGGUGUCAAGAUCAAGUGUACAUUCAUUAGAGGUAGACUCAAGAGAUGAAAGCAAGGGUGGUGGCUAAUCAUCGGCUUGUGGUUUGGUUGUCUCUGUGGUUAUGGGUUCAUAUGAGGUUUGUGGUAAAGGAAGAACGACCACAUCAUGUUGUUCUUCUUGUGGAUUAGUGUGGAACGGAAAUAUAUGUUCAUGAAAGACAACAUCUCGGGAAUAAAAGAAUUUAUGAGUUUCAAGAUCAUAAACCCGAUAACCCUUUUGACCAAGAGGAUAACCAACAAAUAUGCAACGACGAGCUCUUUGAUCAAAUUUAUGUGUGGGUAAGAGAUUGGUGGCAUAACAAAGACAUCCAAAAGUUCGUAGAUGAUGAUAUGAAGGUAGCUUGUUAUAGAGAAGUUGGUAUGGCGAUUUGUCAGAAAGAAUGGGUGUAGGUAAGCGAUUGAUUAAAUAGCAAGCCGUUUGAAUACUUUCCCCCCAAAAUUUUAACGGCAAGUUUGCUUGAAAACGAAGAGCUCUUCCCACAUUUAAAAGAUGACGAUGUUUCCUCUCAACCACCCCAUUUUGUUGGGGGGUGUAAGCACAUGAAUGAUGGUAAUUGAUCCCCUUAGUAUCCAAAUACUGUUUCAUAGAGGAAAUUUCAGUCCCAUUAUCGGUUCGAAGGGUUUUAAUGCAACGAUUAAAUUGAGUUUCCACCCAAGAAAUGAAUGAUUGCAAUAUCCCUUGUGUUUCAGAUUUAAAACUCAUGAGAUGUAUCCAAGUAUAUCGAGUAUGAUCAUCAACAAUUGUUAGGAAAUAACGAGCCCCAGAGUGAGAAUUUAUUCGAUGUGGUCCCCAAAUAUCACAAUGUAUCAAAUCAAAAGGUGCGUGAGAAGAAAUGAAACUAGAUGGAAAGGACAAACGAGUUUGUUUGGCUAAAGGGAAAAUAUCACAAACAUGCUUGGAAUCAAAAUAAAUUUCAGAAUUAACUUUAGCAAGAACUUGAAGAGGACCGGAUGAUGGGUGCCCAAGACGUUGAUGCCAAAGAUCAGAAUGUUUGUGAAUGGCGUAAGCCAAGGCUGGAUUUUGGUCUUGUGCGAGGUAGUAGAGGCCAUUAUGUUGCUUGCCCAGGCCCAUCGUCUUCCUCGUAGUAGCGUCCUGCACAACACAAAAAUCGGAAGAGAACAUCACUAUACAUUGUAAUGCCCGCGUUAGUUUACUAACUGAUAGUAAAUUAACUUGAAAUUGUGGAACUUUGAGUACGUCAUCAAGUUUAAUGUGGGGGGUAACAUGCAAUGAACCAAUUGACUCAAUAUGUGCUUGACCACCAUCUGGCAAACUAAUGGUAGUGGUUUUGGGCAAAAUUUUCGGAUCUAAUAAUUCAGCUGAGGAAGUCACAUGAUCCGUGGCUCCACUAUCAAUAAUCCAACACAUAUUUGAGUGUGGGCAAUUCGGAAUAAUUUUGGAUGAUGGCUUAUUUAUACCUGUGGCAUUUGCAAAGUGUUGUGAAUUACCACCAUUGUUUUUCUGAAUCAUAGCCAUUAAUUGGUUGUAUUCCUCAGUUGUGAGCCUUGGUCCAUCAUUUGUUGGAAGAAGUUUUGCUUCUGUCUCCACAGCCUUAUUUGUUUCCACUUUCACAUUAUUUGCAUUUGAGUGACGUUGAUUGGGAGGCUUCACGUUCUUCCCAUGGAGCUUGUGGCCAAUCGGAAAGCCAUGUAGGUAGUAACACUUCUCAAUGCUGUGACAAUCACGGUCACAAUAGGAGCAGUGCAGUGGAGUCUUUUGCUUUUGAACCUAGUGUGCUGAAGUCGCCUUAUUGUCCCGAUCUGCAAGCAUGGCAUAAUGGUUCUUGUUCCCAUUAUUGAGAGAAACUUCAACCUGUUUUUCUUGUUGAAGGACAAGUGAGUAAACUCAGCGUGUAUCGGGUAGAGGUUGCAUCAAUAAGAUUUGUCCACGAAUGGCAGCAUAACUAUCAUUCAAUCCCAUGAGAAAUUGCAUAACUCUCUCUUUUUCAUCCCUUUCCUUAAGUUUCUCUAAUCCUCCACAAGAACAGGAUAACACUUCAUGAUAGGAUGAAAGUUCAUCCUAAAAAGCUUUAAGCUUUGUGUAAUAAACUGAAAUUGAUUGCUGCCCCUACCUAUGCUCCACAAUGUCUCGCUUGAUCUGAUAAAUUCUUGAAUCGUUUCCUUGCGAAAAACAUUCUCGCAGAUCUGCCCAGAUUUCUGAUGCUGUUUCGGCAUAAAUCACACUGCUGGCUAUGUCUGGAUGAAUGGAAUUCAAUAGCCAUGAGAUCACCAUAUCAUUGCAACGUUGCCAAGAAGGAAAACUAUCAUCAGUCGAAGAGGGUGGCUUAAUGGAACCUGUGACAAAUCCAGUUUUGUCUUUAGCACUCAAACUAAUCCUCAUAGCCCGACUCCAUGUGCUGUAGUUAUCUCCUUCAAGUACUUUGGAGACAAGUACCAUACCCGGGUGGUCCGAGUGGUGUAGAGAGAAGGGAUCUAAAGCUUCUGUGGUAGCCUUAGAUGAUGUCAAUCUCGUUUUGUUGAUGUCCAUGGCAGCAGCUGUAACGAGGAAAUAAGUUGCGGAAACGCUUGGAAGAAUUCAGAGUCACCAGGUUUGAUGCUCUGAUACCAUGUAAGAAAACAGAGUAGAAUAGAGUGUUUUGGAAAUCUGGAAAUCUGGUGUAUAUUCCGUGUAUGAACUUACAGGGAAGAAGAUGCAUAUAUACAAAGUAUUGGUUAGCCUAUUCUAGGAAUCUAAGAGCAAACAUAUCAGUUACAAUCAAUCAAAAUAAUCUUCUAUAUACAAUCAAAUAUCAUCCUCAAAUUACGGGAUCCUUGAUUCCUUUCCCAUAAUAACCCCAAAUUCUAAAAUGGCAAAAGAGCACAAGUAUAAAAUGAACUAAUUAUAUCUUUAAAGAUAUAAUUACCCUUUUUUUUUUUCAUCCUUCUUUCGCCUAUUUAUUAGUGGUACCAACUUAAAUAAUUUCUUAAUCAUUUUUCUCCACUCCAUCAAAUUGAAUAUAAAAGAUAAAUGGUUAAAAUUUAUUAUUACUAAAUGUAUUUUUGAAAUACAUAACUUUUAAAUAUCUCAUCAAAUAUUAAUUUUUUUUCAAACUUACAUAAUAUAUAAUAAUUUUUUUUAAAUACCUUUGAAACUUACAUAAUAUAUAAUAAAUAUUAUUAUUUAUUUCAAACUUAUAGUAUUUUUCGUACAUAUUAAACAAAUUUUAAACAUCUCAUAAAAUAUUAGUAUUUUUUGUUUGUUCUAACUUACAAAUUAGACAUCAUCAAAUAUUAUUAUUUUUUUCAAAUCUAUAGAAUAUAUAAUAAAUACUUUUUAAAUACCUCAACAACUAUUUUUUUUUGUUUCUUAUUUACAAAAUAAUAAAUAUGUUUUACAUUAUUUCUUAUAUAUAUUAAAUAAUUUUUAAAUACCUUAUAAAAUAUUAUUUUUUUCUAACUUGCAAAUUAGAUACAGAGUGUUUAUUAUUUAUUAUAUUAUUUCGAAAAUAAUGUAAACACUCACAUGCUAUAUAUAUAUAUAUAUAUAAUAUUAAUCAAGAAAACAUACUAAUUUACCAACCUUCCAAUAAUUUUGAAAGUGUAAAUAGGGUAAUUAACAAAAUUAAAGUUUUCAAGAUAUUCAAAAUUUCUCUAAUCCUAAAUAUUUUUAAAUAAAGCUUUAAAUAUUUAAAAUUAUUAAAAUAAAUAUUUUCUUAUUAAAUCAAUAUUUAAAAUUAAUAAGAUAAAAAUCAUGAAAUCUUCAAAACUAUAAUUACAACAAAUAUUUAUAAUUUAAAUUAAUGAUUUUAAAAAAAAUGUUACAAAAAUAAUUAUUGUUUAUCUUUAAUUCUAUUUAAAUAUGAUUUUUUAAUAUCUAUUUAUAACAAUAAAAUUAUUUUUAUAAAAGCAAAAUAGUAAAAUAUAUAUAUAUAUUUCAUUUAGUUUACUUAUAAUGAACAAUUCUAAUUGAUUUUAAUUUUAUUUCCUAUAUGUUAAUUUUUGUUGGGAAAUUUUAAUGUCAUAGUUUGGUAAUAAAUAAAUAAAUAAAUAAAUAAAUAAAAUGUCAAUAAUCAUCUUAAUGUCAACUUCAAGUUAUUUAAAAAUCGUACAAAACUUAUUAAAAGUCUUGUACAAUUUUUUUUAAUAAUAUUGCUUAUUUAAAAAUUUUUGAUAUCUCAAAUUAAAGGAUGAAGAUAAAUAUAAAUUUAUUAAUGUUUAAAAUUUUAUUAGAUAAAACAUAUAUACAAAUUAAGUAUCAAGAUAUAUUUUAAAUGAUAGAAAAAUUAUAAUAUUUAAUUUUAUCAUAUAUCUCUUUAUUUUAAAAUUUUAAAAAUUAUUAUAUUAAAUAAUUUAUAUUAUUUUUAUACUUAUCAUUAUAUAAUAAAAAUAACAUGAAGAAUUUAUUUUUAUUAUAUUUAUUUAAUGGUUUUAUAUGGUGGAAAUGGAAAAAAAAAAAAUCGAAGUUUAUAUUAUUAUUUAAUUAAUUGUACUACAAGAAAUAUCAAAGUGAUCGAGUGGCAAGUGAGCCAUCCCCUACCUCGUGUAACAUGUAGCCUGUGGUUCAAGUCACCUAGGUGCAAGCCUUGACAGGUUUUUUAGGAAUUGGAUGGUUCAUCCGGCUUGGUGGUUCAACCGCCAGUUUAAGGGGUUGAGCAUCGGUUCAUUCGCUCAGACCGGAAAGUGCAUCGGUUGGCAAUCAAACCAUUACAAGCUUCAACAUAGUCCACCCCAAAUUCUAAAAUGGUAAAAGAACGUAAGUAUAAAAUGAACUUAUAUCUUUAAAGAUUUGCAUCUUCUUCACUUAUUAUAACUAGCUGAAGAAAUACAUUUCCCCUGAGAAACCAUUACUUAGAGUGGAAGGAGAUGCAAGGAUAGUAGCUAACUAAUAUUCAUAUUAGGAACUUCCGAGGUUUAUAUGGCCGUUCUCAAUCAUCCACUUGAGGCUCCAGUGGUUCUGAGCACAUCUGUAAGCCCAAUACGCCCAUCCAAAAGUGGCACGCCUGUACACAUCUAUUUGAGCUUUUGCAAAUCUCUGGUAGUCUUUCUUUGAUGCUCCACUUUUUGCCCAUUCUGCGGUCCAUUCCCCUACAAAAUUCACCACCAUCAUAUAGAUCUGUAUGGCAAAUAAUUCUAAAUCCAUGAUUGUGUUAUAAGCAAUAAAUAUGUGAUUCAUACUUACCUACAAAACUGAGAGGGCCAUUGGAAGUGGUAACAGCACUGAGGUCUGAAGCUCUCUGGCUAUAGAUGAAAUCAAUAUUCUGUUGUACGUUCAUGUUGUUAAACAUAUCUGAGAAGAGGCUGUAGUAAUGCACAUCGAUCACUACACGAUUAAGGCCCCUGGCGAAGUCCAGGAGCUCCUUGGAGUCAGCAGGCCCCAGUCGGUUCGAUAGGAUCACAUAAGCAUUUGAUGUGUACUUCCUCACGGCAUCGUAACCAGCUUUGUAAUACUUCUUAAGAUCAUUGAGUGUAACUCCUGGAGCCAGAGGCUCAUUCAUCAACUCAAUGGAUGCUAGACUCGGGUUGUUGGCAUAUCUGCCCAAAAAUCAAGUCUGAACCAUUUAAGGCAAUGGCCAAAAAAAUAAAAAAAAUGUUAAGAUAAACUUUAUUUUAGCUUCUGAAACCUUGCUGCUAGGAAGUCUAUGACUGCAACAGUAUCUUGAAUAUUGGAGUCUCCCCAUUCCUGAAACCCAUCUCUGGUCCCACUAUGAUCGUUGCCAUUUUGUGAACCUUGAACUGCAUGCAGAUCAACUAUAAUCUUCAUGCCGUUGUUCCUGCAAAAUUAGUGAUUACCCAGAAAUAUUAUGAACAUAUUGAAUGGUGGCUAAGAGGAUGGUUGGAGAUGGAGUUGUAUGGCUGUUUUUCUUUCACUUACUGUGCCCAUGUGAAAGCAUUGUCCAAGGCCUUUAAGGAGCCCCCCACAAAAGGCUUUGGUGGUGUUGGGUCGCUCGCUAUCCACCACCCAACUGGAAUCCUAACCGCAUUCAGACCAUUUGAUGACAAGAAUCUGAAAUCCUCAUUAGUGAUGUAUGCAUUCCAGUGAUCCUGAUAUUAAGAGGUUUAUGCUUUUAUUAUGAUCAAAUGCUUUACUGAUGAUUGUGAUAAAAAGUAUUCAUCAGUUAAAUGUUCUUGCUAGGCUUGUUGGAGAAAUCAUAUUUGAAUCCUUACCUGCAUGACUUGAGGGGCUCUGUCUGGACCAUAGCCAUUAGUGAUUUGGUAUUCUCCUUGUAAGGUCCGGACUAUCUUCAUUUGGAAGACGGAUGGAUUAUUGUCAUCCCAACCUGAGCCUCCAUAGUCUGCAGUCACCAGCCCCGGUUUUGCCUGAUUAUUGAAUAAAAGCCCAGUAAUCAUGAGAUCCACAAGCAUUUAUUCCUAGAACUGGUAAAUAAUUCAAUUGACAACUGAAACUAACUUGCUAUUGUUGAAUACCUGCAAAUUAGCUAGCUAUUACUAUAGCCCCGGAGAUAGGAGAGGAGGUGGAUCCUAGUUUAGAACUGAGACCUAAUGUGAACUGGGAGAUUGAAACCAAGCCUAAGGUUGAUUGGCUAGCAACUAAUUUCGGUUAAACUUCGACUUUUAGUUUGAAUUGAUCAUGAAUUAAAUUUUAUUUCACUCAGAGACACCUGUAAGAACAUGUACCUCCAUUAUUGAUAUCACCAGUCACUAUACGAUUGUACAUGGAACAUGCGUGUGCCAGAGGCAUGUAGCUGAGGAAGACAAUCCAAAUUCUUGUUCAGGCAAGGGGAAGAUGGUAAAUGCAAUAACCCUCCAUUUUUCUUAUCCUAAAUGGACUAAGGAUGAUAUUUAUAUUAAGUAGGUCCCAGAAAUGGUUGGUUAAAAACUGUGCUCCCAUGUUUGUAUUGCUACUAUCAGCUAGAUCAGUCCCUUUUUCAUCCCUGAAUGGAGCCGAGGAUACAGUAAAAAAGGCAGAUGCUGGGACCAGAUCAUAGAUCUUUAUAUUAUUAGUCUAACCCUCAGCUUAUCAGGUUUUCACAUGUAUGGGCUUGUUCUCUAGUGUUCUACACAAUACUACCAUUUUUUAUGGGGUGUUUAAGAGCCCAAAAGAGUGAGGAAAUGCCUUGUGCCCUGAAAUAUACAGUUUUAGGAUGGAUAGGACACCUGGAGGAAGAGGCCAUUUGAUGCUUUUAUGCGAACUCGAUUUUGAUCGUCGUUCUUCCUUACUAUCUGAAAUGUUUCUGAGUUCCCAGGGGAAUUUAGAACCGAUACCACUUUGUUUCCUUUGCCUUGAUUUUCUAGUCCAAAGAACUGUUUGUUAAACACUCUGAGAUUGAAAGUUGACUUAUUGAUCCUCCACAACUGCAUCAUAUAGUUGAAAAGCAAGGAUUGUUAACAAUGAGGAAGAAUUGAAAGAUGGUUAUAUAUGGUUAAAAGAACCCAACCCUGAAAGUCUCCCAGCCAGAGGGCGAGGUGCGGUUGGCAACAACAUCUGUCCCACCCCCAUUUUCAGCGGCGAGAUACUUCUGCAGCUUCGUAGACAUGAACUGCACUUGAGUUCCAUCCUACCAAGGAUCACAAUAAAGAGCCAUAUGUUAUUGAUGAAAUGCAAAAUUAAGCAGUAAGAAGCCCCUUUUCCUUGGUUAGUGCCGCAUUUAUCAACACAAAAAGGGGAGAUAAAACAAAAUUAGUGGCCAUAGGUGUUUAAUGAUGCAUGGCUGGUCUUAGGAAAAUGAAGAAACUGUACCAAAAGAUCUUGAUUGGGUAUCCCAGCAAAGAGUUCAGGUUUCAUCCAUCCCUCUGUAACAAGCCAAUUUCCUAGAUUCACAGCUUUAACUGGCAAAUAAGGAUCUGCACCCUGUGCAAACAAAAGAGUGGGGACCCAUGAUGAAAAGAGAUAGAAAGCCCACACACAUUUCACGUACAAGCAAGAACUCAUUUGUCACUCUCUUCCUGGAAACUGAGGAGAGUUCGAGUCGAAUACAUACAGAAGGCAAGGGCUACAAAUGGUGUAGGAUGAUAAUGAUUAGUAAAUAUUGUUCACACAAUAUUAAUUAAGGCAUUUGGGAAAUAAUGACUGGAUUGUAUUUUAGGGUUUGUAUCACUCGCUCUUCCACUGGGAAAUCUCAUUUUUCUAGAAGGCAUGCAUCACAAAUUUUGGCCACAAAUAGAAGUUGGACACGGAAUUAGUGCAAAAAUGAAGAUAACUGAGAAUCCCAAUAUGCAUUUAAUGGGAAAUUAGUAGCCGAGAUUAUGAUUUCCAAGGAUUUAUUCAACUGGAUCAGCAAAAUUCUACACGUCCCACCCAGUUUGGGAAUUCUGGGUCUAAGAUUCCACACUAUAAUGAUUUGAGUUUUGAAGAUGGGAGUCAGCGUUAGAAUUGGGUGGCGAAAUAACCUAAGUUGAAUGAGUGGAAGAGCAGGCGGUGAAGACAUUUAGUGAUCAUAAACCUCAAUUUGUAUCCUUCGAUAUAAGAUUGGAGACACAGGGAGGGAGGCACACAAAAUGGACAUAUGUAUGGUUUGUAGAGAAAGAAUUUGCUGUGGGUUGAGGUUUAAUGAUGGCUGUUUCCUACCAACCUAAAGUAAGAUUUGACAGGGGCUAUGAUAGCUCCAUAUAGGCUGUAUUGGGCUCUUGCCACUCCCUCCACUCAGGUUCUAUGCACACUAAAGACAUGAGCACUCAACAGACACAUUAUUGGGGAAUCCAAAAAGGGACUCACACCACCCCCCAAUCAUAGCUUUUCUGUUACCUCUCUGCUGUUCUUAUGAAUCAAGUCCAUCAAAACACUAUUCACCUUUGCAUUGCACUAUCUCAUGGAAAACCUGGACUUCAUGCAACAGACUUAACAUGAGAUGGUGCUAUGUGACUCAUCUAAUCAAACUCCAGGAUUGAGUUUCAAAGCAACUCUUCAAGUGGUGAAAGUUUAGUCAUAUCAUUUACUCCGCAAGAAAUCCACACAUGACAACCAUAUCCUAGUAACCCCAAAAUUUAGAAGACUACAGAGGUGCAUUAUCAAAGUAGGAAAAGCAAAAUGAAGGAAGAAACAACAUGGAGGUUCUUAUAAUUUUAGCCGGGGAAAAAGGGGAACAUGGUUAGAAAAGUACCCGACUGAGCAGGGGCUUCAUUUGCUCCCUGUAGCCAUCAAGAACUCGC
RNAcentral lists this long non-coding RNA (24971 nucleotides) under Vitis vinifera (wine grape). Its description in RNAcentral is "long non-coding RNA (VVIN_LNC007601)". Lineage: Eukaryota; Viridiplantae; Streptophyta; Magnoliopsida; Vitales; Vitaceae. The record is from RNAcentral.